This 743-nucleotide long non-coding RNA is filed under the name Aquila chrysaetos chrysaetos. RNAcentral's name for it is "lncRNA (ENSACCG00020006788.1)". The record is from RNAcentral. Lineage: Eukaryota; Metazoa; Chordata; Aves; Accipitriformes; Accipitridae.
CCCUCACCCUGCCGCGGGGCGGCUGCCCACCCCCCAGGCUCCCCGGGGCGGCUGACGGAGCCUGAGAAACCCAAGAAGGGGAAGAAGGAAAAACCUCCCAAACCCACCAAGAAGCCCAAGGAGAGACCCCGGGGCUCCAAGAGGGACAAGGACCGGGACCGGGACCAGGACCGGGACCGAGACAGGGGCAAGAACAAGGACAGGGGCAAGGACAAGGACAAGCCCCCCAAGAAGCCCAAGGAGAAGCCCCCCAAAGGCUCUGAAAAACCCCCAAAAGGCUCCAAAAAGCCCAAAGAGAAGCCACCCAAGGCCACCAAAAAACCCUCCGGCAAGAAGCCAGAGCCACCGACUACCCCCCCGGAGUCCCCCACCACCCCGCAGCCCCCACGGGGCAAGGAUGACACAGGGACACCCUGGUUCCCGGAGCAGCCUUCGCCCUACGAGGAGGAGGAGGAUGGAGGUGGCCGAGGGGAGUUGGAGGAGCCACCAAGGGAGCCCUGGGAGCUGGGUCGGGAGGACUAUCGCCCCGAGCCCGAGCCUGAGGUGCCUGAGGAGCCGGAGCCACCGACGCUGGACUACAACGAGCAGCUGGAGCGGGAGGACUACGAGGACUUCGAGUACAUCCGGCGGCAGCAGAAACCCCGCAAGCCCCCAAGCAGGAAGAAACCCGAGAGAGUCUGGCCCCAGCCCGAGGAGCCACUGAAGCCGGAGGAGCCACCCCCACAGCCACCCCCACUGCCCAU